GCCCGCCUAGCUCAAUCGGAUAGAGCGUCAGACUUUUACGAACCAACCAGUUCGCCGAAGGGAUCUGAAUGUUGCGAGUUCGAGCCUCGCGGUGGGCU
Molecule: non-coding RNA, 98 nt
Organism: Lentinus tigrinus ALCF2SS1-7
Lineage: Eukaryota; Fungi; Basidiomycota; Agaricomycetes; Polyporales; Polyporaceae
Source: the annotation of a GenBank genome assembly